AUUGAACGCUGGCGGCAGGCCUAACACAUGCAAGUCGAGCGGAUGAAGGGAGCUUGCUCCUGGAUUCAGCGGCGGACGGGUGAGUAAUGCCUAGGAAUCUGCCUGGUAGUGGGGGAUAACGUCCGGAAACGGGCGCUAAUACCGCAUACGUCCUGAGGGAGAAAGUGGGGGAGCUUCGGACCUCAUGCUAUCAGAUGAGCCUAGGUCGGAUUAGCUAGUUGGUGGGGUAAAGGCCUACCAAGGCGACGAUCCGUAACUGGUCUGAGAGGAUGAUCAGUCACACUGGAACUGAGACACGGUCCAGACUCCUACGGGAGGCAGCAGUGGGGAAUAUUGGACAAUGGGCGAAAGCCUGAUCCAGCCAUGCCGCGUGUGUGAAGAAGGUCUUCGGAUUGUAAAGCACUUUAAGUUGGGAGGAAGGGCAGUAAGUUAAUACCUUGCUGUUUUGACGUUACCAACAGAAUAAGCACCGGCUAACUUCGUG
This 484-nucleotide ribosomal RNA is filed under the name uncultured bacterium. Its description in RNAcentral is "partial 16S ribosomal RNA". It matches the Rfam family "Bacterial small subunit ribosomal RNA", at positions 30 to 507 of the family's 1533-position model. The record is from RNAcentral.